This 335-nucleotide small nuclear RNA is filed under the name Canis lupus familiaris (dog). Its description in RNAcentral is "7SK RNA". It matches the Rfam family "7SK RNA". Rfam says of the family: 7SK was discovered as an abundant small nuclear RNA in the mid-70s but a possible function has only recently been suggested. RNAcentral also lists the same sequence under 1 other name. Lineage: Eukaryota; Metazoa; Chordata; Mammalia; Carnivora; Canidae. The record is from Rfam by way of RNAcentral.
GGAUGUGAGGGUGAUCCGGCUACCACAUCUGUCACUCCAUUGAUCCCCAGGGUUAAUUUGGUUGAUCUGGCUGGCUAGGCGGCGUCCCCUUCCUCCUCUGCCACUCUGUGUGCAUCUGCUUGCCAAGUUGCACAUUCAAAGAGGAUGACCUUCCCUGAUAGAGGAGGACCGUUCUUCCAUAAAGGGUAUACAAGUAGCUGUGCACCCCUGCUAGAACUAGAAUCUUCAGACAAGCUUUCAAAAUCCAUUUGUAGGAGAAUGUAGGGUAGUCGAGGUUCCAAGACUCCACAGACACAUCCAAAUAAGGUGCUGCAUGAAGCAGUCUGCCUUUCUUU